This is an RNA transcript of Zea mays, 1790 nucleotides long. RefSeq lists it as uncharacterized. The record is from RefSeq and is marked validated. The transcript has 10 exons. NCBI's taxonomy places the organism in Eukaryota, Viridiplantae, Streptophyta, Magnoliopsida, Poales, Poaceae.
GUGGAGCAUGCUUGUGGAAUGAGAACAUUGCAAAUGGGCGAAUAUGAAUCAAGUGUUUCUAUUGGGAACGACACAUUUAGCAUUCGGGAGCCACUUGGUGUUUGCACUGGGAUAUGCCCAUUUAAUUUUCCUGCUAUGAUUCCCCUAUGGAAGCGAGGGAGGCGUCGCGUCGACUUCCGCUUCUCGCCGACGGCCAUCUCCAUCGAGGACGUCCGCGACGCCGAGGAGGAGCGCGUCGUCGCCUCCUUCUAGGACCACCUCACCGUGCAUGGCUUCCUCCCCGACAAGCACGAUGACUACCACAUGAUGCUCAGGUUCCUCAAGGCCAGGAAGUUCGAAGCCGAUAAGGUGAUGCUGAUGUGGUCGGAGAUGCUGAAAUGGAGGAAGGAGUUUGGAACUAACACCAUCCUCGAGGAUUUUGUUUUCGAGGAGCUGGAUGAUGUGCUGCGCUACUACCCUCAGGGCUACCAUGGUGUGGACCGCGAAGGCCGGCCCGUGUACAUUGAGAGGCUAGGGAAGGUGGAUCCCAACAAACUCAUGCAGAUCACCUCUGUGGAUCGCUACAUCAAGUACCAUGUCCAGGAGUUUGAGAGAGCCUUCAGGGAGAGGUUCCCUGCCUGCACAUUGGCUGCCAAGAGGCACAUUGACUCCACCACUACCAUCUUGGACGUCUAGGGUGUGGGGUUUAAGAAUUUCUCCAAGACUGCAAGAAAACUUGUGCAUCGGAUGCAGAAGAUUGAUAGCGAUUAUUAUCCCGAGUGGAUUUAAGUGGAUCUGGAACAGCGUGAAGGGCUUCCUUGACCCAAAAACUUCAUCCAAGAUUCAUGUGCUUGGUUCGAACUACCAGAGCAGGCUUCUUGAAGUAAUAGAUUCGAGUGAGCUGCCAGAAUUCCUUGGCGGUUCAUGCACAUGUAGUGACGAGGGUGGUUGUCCAGGAUCGAACAAAGGGCCGUGGAAUGAUCCUUAUAUAUUGAAGCUGAUCCACAAUUUGGAAGCUGGAUGCGCGAGGGAAAUCAAACCUAUUUAUGAGGGGGAAGAAAGAAACAACUCCUCCUUUCGGUUGGAACAGAUGAAAUGUUAGGGCUUGUUAAGUGAUACAUCAAAUGCUGAAUCAGGAUCUAAUGUUGAUGAUUUUGGUGCAUCAUUUGUUCAUAAAGUUUCUGACUAUGGUUGCUUGGUGCAUCAUUUGAUUAAGAACUAACGAGCUGCUCUUUCUUCUAUGGCUCAAUUUUGCUAGGAUACGGAGCCGAGUGCAGCAUAUCCAUCGGAGGUAAACCUUCAGUUUCAUUUUUCAUGUUCUUUUCAUUAGUGAAAACCAUGAACUCAUGGCAUCGAUGUAUGCUCACAAACUUCCAUAAAAAACAUAGACACAACCUUUGUUUUAGUACACCGUGGAUACAUUGUCCAUGUAAUCAACCACGAGGGCCACAGUAAAUCUUCAGGCUCGAAAGGCUACCUGUCGAGCUUUGAUGACACGUCAGAGACUGCUCUGACCAUUUCAAGAGUGUAUGUGGUGAGAACGAAGUUGUGGAUUCCAGUGGCUAUGUACGCAAACCAUAGCCCUACAUGGGACCUCCAUUAUUUAUUUGCUAACAUGUUACAUGUCCAUUGCAUUUCCAUAGAAAGGGGAGAACAUGCUAAAGAAGAGAUUCCUCUACGGGUUCUCCAUGGGAGGAACUGUGGUGGUACAGCUCCAUAUGAAUGAUCCUUUCUACUGGGACGGUGCCGUGUUGCUUGCUCCAAUGUGCAGGGUCUUGUCCUUAACUGUAUUGAAUGGCCUAAGUUUCCUG